This 1462-nucleotide ribosomal RNA is filed under the name Klebsiella pneumoniae. Its description in RNAcentral is "bacterial SSU rRNA". It matches the Rfam family "Bacterial small subunit ribosomal RNA". Lineage: Bacteria; Pseudomonadati; Pseudomonadota; Gammaproteobacteria; Enterobacterales; Enterobacteriaceae. The record is from RNAcentral. RNAcentral also lists the same sequence under 1 other name.
AUUGAACGCUGGCGGCAGGCCUAACACAUGCAAGUCGAGCGGUAGCACAGAGAGCUUGCUCUCGGGUGACGAGCGGCGGACGGGUGAGUAAUGUCUGGGAAACUGCCUGAUGGAGGGGGAUAACUACUGGAAACGGUAGCUAAUACCGCAUAACGUCGCAAGACCAAAGUGGGGGACCUUCGGGCCUCAUGCCAUCAGAUGUGCCCAGAUGGGAUUAGCUAGUAGGUGGGGUAACGGCUCACCUAGGCGACGAUCCCUAGCUGGUCUGAGAGGAUGACCAGCCACACUGGAACUGAGACACGGUCCAGACUCCUACGGGAGGCAGCAGUGGGGAAUAUUGCACAAUGGGCGCAAGCCUGAUGCAGCCAUGCCGCGUGUGUGAAGAAGGCCUUCGGGUUGUAAAGCACUUUCAGCGGGGAGGAAGGCGGUGAGGUUAAUAACCUCACCGAUUGACGUUACCCGCAGAAGAAGCACCGGCUAACUCCGUGCCAGCAGCCGCGGUAAUACGGAGGGUGCAAGCGUUAAUCGGAAUUACUGGGCGUAAAGCGCACGCAGGCGGUCUGUCAAGUCGGAUGUGAAAUCCCCGGGCUCAACCUGGGAACUGCAUUCGAAACUGGCAGGCUAGAGUCUUGUAGAGGGGGGUAGAAUUCCAGGUGUAGCGGUGAAAUGCGUAGAGAUCUGGAGGAAUACCGGUGGCGAAGGCGGCCCCCUGGACAAAGACUGACGCUCAGGUGCGAAAGCGUGGGGAGCAAACAGGAUUAGAUACCCUGGUAGUCCACGCUGUAAACGAUGUCGAUUUGGAGGUUGUGCCCUUGAGGCGUGGCUUCCGGAGCUAACGCGUUAAAUCGACCGCCUGGGGAGUACGGCCGCAAGGUUAAAACUCAAAUGAAUUGACGGGGGCCCGCACAAGCGGUGGAGCAUGUGGUUUAAUUCGAUGCAACGCGAAGAACCUUACCUGGUCUUGACAUCCACAGAACUUUCCAGAGAUGGAUUGGUGCCUUCGGGAACUGUGAGACAGGUGCUGCAUGGCUGUCGUCAGCUCGUGUUGUGAAAUGUUGGGUUAAGUCCCGCAACGAGCGCAACCCUUAUCCUUUGUUGCCAGCGGUUAGGCCGGGAACUCAAAGGAGACUGCCAGUGAUAAACUGGAGGAAGGUGGGGAUGACGUCAAGUCAUCAUGGCCCUUACGACCAGGGCUACACACGUGCUACAAUGGCAUAUACAAAGAGAAGCGACCUCGCGAGAGCAAGCGGACCUCAUAAAGUAUGUCGUAGUCCGGAUUGGAGUCUGCAACUCGACUCCAUGAAGUCGGAAUCGCUAGUAAUCGUAGAUCAGAAUGCUACGGUGAAUACGUUCCCGGGCCUUGUACACACCGCCCGUCACACCAUGGGAGUGGGUUGCAAAAGAAGUAGGUAGCUUAACCUUCGGGAGGGCGCUUACCACUUUGUGAUUCAUGACUGGGGUG